GACGAACGAGGGGGGAGGGAGGAACACAAGCAAGUCGAACGGAAAGGCCCUGCUUUUGUGGGGUGCUCGAGUGGCGAACGGGUGAGUAACACGUGAGUAACCUGCCCUUGACUUUGGGAUAACUUCAGGAAACUGGGGCUAAUACCGGAUAGGAGCUCCUGCUGCAUGGUGGGGGUUGGAAAGUUUCGGCGGUUGGGGAUGGACUCGCGGCUUAUCAGCUUGUUGGUGGGGUAGUGGCUUACCAAGGCUUUGACGGGUAGCCGGCCUGAGAGGGUGACCGGCCACAUUGGGACUGAGAUACGGCCCAGACUCCUACGGGAGGCAGCAGUGGGGAAUAUUGCACAAUGGGCGGAAGCCUGAUGCAGCAACGCCGCGUGCGGGAUGACGGCCUUCGGGUUGUAAACCGCUUUCGCCUGUGACGAAGCGUGAGUGACGGUAAUGGGUAAAGAAGCACCGGCUAACUACGUG
Molecule: ribosomal RNA, 468 nt
Filed under: uncultured bacterium
Lineage: Bacteria
Description: partial 16S ribosomal RNA
Rfam family: Bacterial small subunit ribosomal RNA
Source: RNAcentral